Long non-coding RNA from Oncorhynchus tshawytscha (Chinook salmon), 3593 nucleotides. RefSeq lists it as uncharacterized. The transcript has 3 exons. Lineage: Eukaryota; Metazoa; Chordata; Actinopteri; Salmoniformes; Salmonidae. The record is from RefSeq and is a predicted model, not a curated record.
AAAUAAUAAUGGCCAAAUGUUGCACAAUCCAGGUGUUGAACGUUUUUAGAGACGCAGAAAGACUCACAGCUGUAAUCGCUGCCAAAGGUGCUAAUACAAAGUAUUGACUCAGUGAUGUAAAGACUUAUCUAAAUGAAAUAUUUCUGUAUUUCAUUUUCAAAAAUGUAGCAAAAAAUUACAAAAAACAUGUUUUCAAUUUGUCAUUGUGUAUUGUAUUGUGUGUAGAUUGGUGAGAUUGUUUAUUUAUUUAGUACAUUUUGAAUUCAGGCUGUAACACAACAUAAUGUGUGAUAAGUCAAGGGGUUUGAGUACUUUAUGAAAAUACCCUCAAAUUAAGGGGAAAUUCUGUACUGUCGCCUUAUAUAAAACAUUCUAUCUUAAAUCUAAAAUACUGGAGUAUAGAGCCAUACAUAUUUUUUGGGCUUCACUGUCCAAAUGCAUAUGGAGGGGAGUGUAUGACCGAUAAAUGAUUCUGAUUGUUCAGAUACCCUUACCUCUGCAACAUUAGUUCACACUUGCUGUAUGAGACUGUUGUUUAGGUUUCUGCUCUCUGUGGUUUUGCUGUGCACAAGCUCCACAUUUACGUCUCUAUUCAAACAAUCCUCUGACUCAGUCACACACCUUACUGUGAAGUCAGACUAACAGUAUGUAGCUGACUGACAAAUGGCAUUGUUCAUCCCUGAUAUGGCUGGUCAUCUGUUCUUGGUCAUCCUCCUUUUUGGUGAGUUAUUUCUACAUUUCUACAGUUUCAUCAUCUGUUUGUGCUACAGGAUAUUCCUCUUCUUCUCUCCCCUCUUUUUGUCUUUUAAUUGAGGAACUCUUGAUAUUUCUGAAUCUCAUGGCUAUGAUGAGUGUCUUGUAUCUUAUUCCAUUAAUCAUCUUAUUUAUUUCUCUCUAUCAUUAUUUUACAAUUUGUUGAGUUAAGAAUGACCACUGCUUGAUCCCCAUUAAUGCAUUACAGUAGAUUACGCUACUUUACCAACUUGUGUGAAGUGUUCAGGUGUCUCCUGUUAAAACAUACUUUUUGAAUGGCAGAUGAUGAUAAUCUAUUUUAUAAUUUCUAGAUACGUUCCAAUCCAUCAAAGCCCAAGGUCAGUAUCAUUAUUAUGAGUUUUUAGUUACCCAGUAAAAAUAUUAUAAUAAUCAUGGUAUGAGAUGUUUUUUCACAGUAGAGACUCACUAUCCAUCGAUGCACAGUCAUCCUGCGCCUAUCACUAUUCUUGGUAAACUGCAGAAACCAGACAUUAGUGUCAAUGACGAAUCAUCUCAUGACAUCACUAUUGCCUGUGUACUUCCUGAGUCUGUCAGUGAUGGUCAUAGCUGUAACCUGUACACUGGAGACCAGCCUCAGGCCUACAAAGAGGCUUGGGUCAGAAACCAAAUAUUACAGUCAGUCUGAAUGAGAACUUCAUCAUCACCUGUUUAAUUCCUGGCUCUGUCAGUAAUGACACCACAUGUAACCUGUAUGUUGGAGAGAAGAGUAAGUGUCUCAUAAGAGCACACAUCAGGGAGAAGAAACACACCAAUUCCAAAUGCUGGUUCUGUCAAUUCUCUGUGGAUGAGAAUGAUCUGAUCAAUUGUCUACAGUCAGCUCAGGACCAAACUCUCUCUCUCUCCACGUAGUGAUGGGUACAGCUUUACAGGUGAGUCAUUAUCAAUACAGUAAGAAUCUAUCAGUGCUGCAGGUCUUCAUGAUCUGACUACCUUUUGAUUAGUUUAAAAUGACUAUAUUAAUUCUGACCCUCCCUCCCCCACUAACUCAAUCACUCACUCAUUUUUGCUCGCUCUUUGGAGCAUAGCACUUUGACAUAUGGAUCUCCACACUGUCUUAAUCUGGGCCAGAUCCCAGGCUGAUCUGGUGUUGAGUCCCAGGAUGAGAAGUUUAAUUUCUUUGUUGAACUGGUUCAGCGUUUAGAUUGUAUCUAUGCACUGUUGUGCUUCAGCUGUUAGUUACAUGGGGACCUUAUUCUAGGAAGCUGAUAACAACAAUCAACACCUUAUCUGUCCUGAUCAUUAUCAUCACCUUAUGAACUGGUCUUAUCAUCUCUAUAAUGAGGAGAAAUAUAAUCUACCAGGGCAGGAAGCAAUCUGUCCGUAGUGAUUUUAUAGUCCUACUUUUCCUACUUUGAAAAGACAAGUCAUGAAGGUAUUUCAAAAGGACAACAACCACCUGAAUAAAAUACUAGAUCUACUUUGCCUCCCAGCACGACAGUGAAUCCUACAUCAGGUGUAUUGGUCAUCUUUCUCUAGUUAGCAGAUAGGACCUAAACAAAUAGACUAGCUUUAUUGAACCUAGGUUUUUAUGCACAAAUUUCCCCUGAUUAAAAAAACAUUAAUAUUUCACUAAUUAAAUCAACCCAUUUAGAUACCUUUGUUAUUGUAUAAUCAGAUCCAAUGACUUUGCUUUGCACCGGGUUUGACUUCUAGUUCUACUUUGACAACUGACACCCCUAAGAGUCCACAUGAUUUUAGUUUAGUGGUGUAAUAAGUUGUGUUGUGUGUUAACUGUUAUUAAACAGUCUCUCUCUUGCAUGUGCCCAGGAGGUCAAAGCUCCACAGAAAGCGUUCUGGGUAAGCAUCCAUCUCUAGCUGACUACCUGUCUUUUCUCAGACAAAUUUACAAGUUUACAAUAAAACAUAUUCUAUAUUAUUCUCAGAAAAUAAAAUGUUGUCCCCCAACUCCCUUACCAUGUAGGUCCAUUGCUUGUUCAAGAGGUGCUGAUAUCUGAUCGUUUUGGUUAAUACAUCCCAUACCUCAAUUGUAUUUACCCGAGCUUUGUUUAUCAUGCCCGCUGAUUGCUCUAUACGAACAAUAUCUUGAAAAUAUGAUAACCAUGUUUGAGGCAAGAGGAUUGUAGGGGUAAUCCACUAAGGAUAACCUUUUGUGCUGCUGUUAACUCCUAGUUCAGGUUGUGCCCCAAUCUCUGCAUUUCACAGUUCCAUACUAGAGUGACACCCAAUGUAGAGCAUUUAACAGACAGCAGGCAAUCAUAAGUGGCAGAGACCAUUCUAGAAGUUAAUGAAGGGAAUAACCAUGUAAGCAUUAUUUGGGAUGUUAACGGGGCAUCCCAUGGUACACCAUAAACUUUUAAGGUUCUGGGUUUUAACAAUAAUAUGCCAAAUUAUGAAAUUGUGAAUCUUUCUACUGACUGAGUUGUGUUGUACUCUAACAGCAAUAACAAAUACCUUUCUAUUUGUGUAAUCAGGGUUCCUAACCAAUUGUGCUAUUCUGGGUGUUUUUUGUGACCUGUUUUUUACAUAAUGUUUCUGCCACUGUCUCUUAUGACCGAAAUGAGCUUCUGGACAUCAGAUUUUUUCUUAAUGAAUUGAAGGAGAAAGAUUUACAUCAUUUCACGGACCAUGCCCAAAGCCCCGUCAUUCGCAUGAAGAGGAGACGACCGAUACAGGGGCCGCAGAUCCUGAUGCUUGGUGAGAAUUCGUCUGCAAGUGGAUAAUCCUGCUUUACCAUCCUUAUCUUAUGCUUCACCGAGUCAUGGCUGAACGAGGACAUGGAUCAUAUACAGUUGGCUGGGUUUUCCGUGAAUCGGCAAGACAGAACAAUAAACAUCCAGUAAGAUGGUGGUCUGUGUCUA